Molecule: ribosomal RNA, 2544 nt
Filed under: Triticum aestivum (bread wheat)
Lineage: Eukaryota; Viridiplantae; Streptophyta; Magnoliopsida; Poales; Poaceae
Description: partial small subunit ribosomal RNA
Source: RNAcentral
AUGCCGAUGGAGACGCCAAUCGAGGCCGAAGGGAAGAGCUCAGAGCCACCAGGGAAUGGCUCGCUGCUGAAGAUUGCCGAGAAAUCCCAGGAAUUGGGGGGUAAUCCAGGGAGGGAACUGCCGCCGUUGCAUCAGGGCAAGGAGGUCAUCCUCGUCGAUGACAAUGACAGUGGUCAGGAAGAUGGUGGGGGUGCCAAGGUGGACGAGAACGCGCCCCGCAUCGGGUUGCGGUUCAAGACCUAUGACGACGCGCUCAACUACUACAAGCAGUAUGCGGUGGAUUCCGGCUUCUCGGCGAUCACUCUCAAGUCGUCGUACCUGAAGUCGGGGGUGUGCCGGAGGCUGGUGCUCGGGUGCAGUCGGUCAGGGAGAGGGAGAGCAAAUGUGUGCUAUCUGUCUAGAGAAACAGCAAAGAUAAACUGCCCAGCUAGGAUUUCGUUGAAGUUGAGGCAGGACAGGUGGCUUCACAUUGACGACGCCAAGCUCGACCACAACCAUCCGCUCAACCAGUCCUCAGACUCGCCCAUGAGCUGUUACAAGAAACUGACGGAUGCCAAGAGCGUGGAAAAUGGUUCACGGCUUAAAGGGCGAAGGAAUGUUCCGAUAGCUGACAAAGAGCAGGGGAACUUUACCGAGAUAGGAAGGCUUAAGUUCGGGGAAGGAGAUGAUGAGCAGAUCCAGAAGUUUUUUGGCAGCAUGCAGAAUAAGAAUCCAAAUUUCUUCUACCUGGUGGAUUUGGACAAGCAGGGGCGUCUAAGGAACUUGUUUUGGAGUGAUGCUAGGUCACAGGCAGCGCAUGAAUACUUUGGUCAUGAUGUUGUUUACUUUGACACUUCAUACUUGACUGAGAAAUAUGAUCUGCCACUUGUUUUCUUCACUGGGAUGAAUAAUCAUGGCCACCCUGUUUUGUUUGGUACCGGCUUGCUUUCAGAUCUCAGUGCUGAGAGCUAUACCUGGCUAUUCAGAGCAUUUUUGUCAUGUAUGAAGGGCUGUUACCCAGACGCAAUCAUCACUGAGCAUUACAACGCUAUUCUGGAUGCGGUUAGAGAAGUAUUUUCCCAAGUUAAACACCGCCUUUGUCUGUAUCGCAUUAUGAGAGACGUGGCAGAGAACUUGAAAGCACACGCGGAAUUCAAAACAAUUAAGAGAGCACUGAAGAAAGUAACAUAUGGGUCUUUGAAGCCCCCAGAGUUUGAGGCUGAUUGGAAGAAGGUUAUUGAGGAACAUGGACUUGCAGGAAAUGAAUGCCUCAGUUCCCUACAUGAGCAUCGGCAAUUAUGGGCACCUGCUUAUCUUAAAGACAAAUUCUGGGCGGGUAUGUCUGUUUCACAGCGUGGGGAGUCUGUUGCUUCAUACUAUGAUGGAUUUGUGUACCCAAAAACUUCUUUGAAGCAAUUUUUCAGCAAAUAUGAGAUGAUAUUGGAGAACAAAUACAAGAAAGAGUUGCAAGCAGAUGAAGAAUCUUCCCAUAGGACUCCAUUGACUGUAACAAAGUUCUACAUGGAAGAGCAACUGGCCAAGGCCUACACAAUCAACAUGUUCAGGAAAUUUCAGGAAGAGUUGAAAGCAACAAUGUAUUGUGAUGGUAUGCCAAGUAAAGUUGAUGGCCCAUUUGUUACUUUUGAAGUGAAAGAAUGCUCAUACAUGGAAGAUGGAAAGGAGACGGAGAGCAGGACUUAUGAAGUUUAUUUUUGUAAAGAAGGGCUCAUUGUUGAGUGCGAAUGUGGUUUCUUUCAGUUCACUGGCAUACUAUGCAGACAUGCGUUGUCUGUGUUUAAGUUGCAUGACAUGUUUGAGAUCCCGUCAAGAUAUGUCCUUGAUCGCUGGAAAAGAGACUAUAAGAAACUGCAUGCUUUGGCACAUUAUCCUAAUGAGAUGCUCCUUGGUGACACAGUGGAGCGCCAUGAUUAUUUGUCUACACAGUGCCGUCAGGUUCUCAAUUUAGGCUUUAUAUCUGAGAGUAGGUACCUUGUUGCUCUGAAGUUACUGAGAGAAGCAGAAAGGGCUCUUCUGGAUGAUGGUCAACCUGCUAGAGACAGGCAGCCGAGGCUUCUCUCAUUCGAAGCUGAUGCACCUGAAAAUGGCCAAGGCCUUUUUAGUUCUCAAUUUCCAGAGGGUGAGAAGAAUUCCCUGUCCACAAAUGCAAAGCAUCCUGGCCGGCCAGCAAAGAAAGUGGCAGAAACUGAUCCGGAUGCUGUAUUACGGUCAAAUAAAGAACAGCAGGAUUUUCUACGGUCAUCAUUUGUGCCAACUGAAACUAAUAUGAUUCAAGAGACAUCGUCAGGUUCCCAUCUUGAAAGUCCUGACAUGGGAGUGCCAGGAAGCAUUCAUCUAAUGGAAGGGAUAUCUCCAAACCUGACAUUUGGACCUCAUUUUGGAAUGGAUGUUAGUCACCAACAUCAACUGCCUAAUCAACCAAGGAUGAUGCCGAAUAACUUUAUGCAGGUACAAGCAGAUCCCCAUGUUUUCGGAAAUCAGUGGGCUUACAACCCAACGAUGCAGGAUAAUCCAAUGCUAAGAACUCCUACGCGAAGAGCAGGGUAG